Molecule: ribosomal RNA, 767 nt
Filed under: Staphylococcus aureus
Lineage: Bacteria; Bacillati; Bacillota; Bacilli; Caryophanales; Staphylococcaceae
Description: bacterial SSU rRNA
Rfam family: Bacterial small subunit ribosomal RNA
Source: RNAcentral
GAUGAACGCUGGCGGCGUGCCUAAUACAUGCAAGUCGAGCGAACGGAUGAGAAGCUUGCUUCUCUGAUGUUAGCGGCGGACGGGUGAGUAACACGUGGAUAACCUACCUAUAAGACUGGGAUAACUUCGGGAAACCGGAGCUAAUACCGGAUAAUAUUUUGAACCGCAUGGUUCAAAAGUGAAAGACGGUCUUGCUGUCACUUAUAGAUGGAUCCGCGCUGCAUUAGCUAGUUGGUAAGGUAACGGCUUACCAAGGCAACGAUGCAUAGCCGACCUGAGAGGGUGAUCGGCCACACUGGAACUGAGACACGGUCCAGACUCCUACGGGAGGCAGCAGUAGGGAAUCUUCCGCAAUGGGCGAAAGCCUGACGGAGCAACGCCGCGUGAGUGAUGAAGGUCUUCGGAUCGUAAAACUCUGUUAUUAGGGAAGAACAUAUGUGUAAGUAACUGUGCACAUCUUGACGGUACCUAAUCAGAAAGCCACGGCUAACUACGUGCCAGCAGCCGCGGUAAUACGUAGGUGGCAAGCGUUAUCCGGAAUUAUUGGGCGUAAAGCGCGCGUAGGCGGUUUUUUAAGUCUGAUGUGAAAGCCCACGGCUCAACCGUGGAGGGUCAUUGGAAACUGGAAAACUUGAGUGCAGAAGAGGAAAGUGGAAUUCCAUGUGUAGCGGUGAAAUGCGCAGAGAUAUGGAGGAACACCAGUGGCGAAGGCGACUUUCUGGUCUGUAACUGACGCUGAUGUGCGAAAAGCGUGGGGAUCAAACACG